RNAcentral lists this ribosomal RNA (468 nucleotides) under uncultured bacterium. Its description in RNAcentral is "partial 16S ribosomal RNA". It matches the Rfam family "Bacterial small subunit ribosomal RNA", at positions 28 to 507 of the family's 1533-position model. The record is from RNAcentral.
GACGAACGCUGGCGGCGUGCUUAACACAUGCGAGUCGAACGGAAAGGCCCUGCUUUUGUGGGGUGCUCGAGUGGCGAACGGGUGAGUAACACGUGAGUAACCUGCCCUUGACUUUGGGAUAACUUCAGGAAACUGGGGCUAAUACCGGAUAGGAGCUCCUGCUGCAUGGUGGGGGUUGGAAAGUUUCGGCGGUUGGGGAUGGACUCGCGGCUUAUCAGCUUGUUGGUGGGGUAGUGGCUUACCAAGGCUUUGACGGGUAGCCGGCCUGAGAGGGUGACCGGCCACAUUGGGACUGAGGUACGGCCCAGACUCCUACGGGAGGCAGCAGUGGGGAAUAUUGCACAAUGGGCGGAAGCCUGAUGCAGCAACGCCGCGCGUGGGAUGACGGCCUUCGGGUUGUAAACCGCUUUCGCCUGUGACGAAGCGUGAGUGACGGUAAUGGGUAAAGAAGCACCGGCUAACUACGUG